GCUCAACCGAGGAAGUGCUUCGAAAACAGGUAAACUUGAGUGCAGAAGAGGAAAGUGGAACUCCAUGUGUAGCGGUGGAAUGCGUAGAUAUAUGGAAGAACACCAGUGGCGAAGGCGGCUUUCUGGUCUGUAACUGACGCUGAGACUCGAAAGCAUGGGUAGCAAACAGGAUUAGAUACCCUGGUAGUCCAUGCCGUAAACGAUGAGUGCUAAGUGUUAGGGGGUUUCCGCCCCUUAGUGCUGCAGCUAACGCAUUAAGCACUCCGCCUGGGGAGUACGGUCGCAAGACUGAAACUCAAAGGAAUUGACGGGGGCCCGCACAAGCGGUGGAGCAUGUGGUUUAAUUCGAAGCAACGCGAAGAACCUUACCAGGUCUUGACAUCCUCUGACAACCCUAGAGAUAGGGCUUUCCCUUCGGGGACGGAGUGACAGGUGGUGCAUGGUUGUCGUCAGCUCGUGUCGUGAGAUGUUGGGUUAAGUCCCGCAACGAGCGCAACCCUUGAUCUUAGUUGCCAGCAUUUAGUUGGGCACUCUAAGGUGACUGCCGGUGACAAACCGGAGGAAGGUGGGGAUGACGUCAAAUCAUCAUGCCCCUUAUGACCUGGGCUACACACGUGCUACAAUGGACAGAACAAAG
Molecule: ribosomal RNA, 637 nt
Filed under: uncultured bacterium
Lineage: Bacteria
Description: bacterial SSU rRNA
Rfam family: Bacterial small subunit ribosomal RNA
Source: RNAcentral